UACGUAGGAUGCAAGCGUUGUCCGGAAUUACUGGGCGUAAAGGGCGAGCAGGUGGCUCUACAAGUCUGAUGUGAAAUCUCCCGGCUUAACUGGGAGCGGCCAUUGGAAACUGUAGAGCUGGAGUGCAGGAGAGGCUAACGGAAUUCCCGGUGUAGUGGUGAAAUGCGUAGAUAUCGGGAGGAAGACCAGUGGCGAAGGCGGAUCUCUGGACAGCUACUGACGCUGAGGCGCGAAGGCUAGGGGAGCAAACGGG
Molecule: ribosomal RNA, 253 nt
Filed under: uncultured bacterium
Lineage: Bacteria
Description: partial 16S ribosomal RNA
Rfam family: Bacterial small subunit ribosomal RNA
Source: RNAcentral